AUGGCGCCGUGGUGGGGGCAGGAGGCGCGGGGAGGGGUGUCCGGCGGCGUCACGGGGACGCCCGUGGUGGUCAAGAUGCAGACCCCGGACUGGGCCAUCUCCGAGGUGCCGCCGCCGGGCUCGCCCGCCGCGGGGGGCAAGGACGGCCGCGGCAAGAACGCGCGCCAGAUCACCUGGGUGCUGCUCCUCAAGGCGCACCGAGCCGCGGGGAAGCUCACGGGCGCCGCCACCGCCGCGCUCUCCGUGGCCGCGGCUGCGCGGAGGCGGGUGGCGGCUGGCCGGACCGACUCCGACGCCGACAACGCGCCGCCGGGGCCGGGGGGCAGCCCCGCGCUGCGCACCAGGCUCUACGGCUUCAUCCGCGCCUCCCUCCUCCUCUCCAUGCUCCUCCUCGCCGCCGACGUCGCCGCGCACGCCCAGGGCUGGCACCUCGCCGCGCUCCCCGACCUGGAGGCCGUCGAGGGCCUCUUCGCCGCCGCCUACGCGGCCUGGAUGCGCGCCCGCGCCGCCUACCUCGGCCCGGCCCUGCAGUUCCUCACCAACGCCUGCGUCGUGCUCUUCAUGAUCCAGAGCGCCGACCGCCUCAUCCUCUGCCUCGGCUGCUUCUGGAUCAAGCUCAGGGGGAUCAGGCCCGUGCCCAACGCCGCCGCCGGCAAAGGCUCGGACGACGUCGAGGCCGGCGCCCAGGAGGAGGGGGAGUUCCCCAUGGUGCUCGUCCAGAUUCCAAUGUGCAACGAGAAGGAGGUGUAUCAGCAAUCCAUUGGAGCUGUCUGCAAUCUGGACUGGCCGAGAUCGAAUUUCUUGGUGCAGGUGCUCGAUGAUUCUGACGAUGCUGCGACUUCAGCUCUUAUCAGAGAGGAGGUUGAGAAAUGGCAACGGGAGGGUGUCCGGAUAUUGUACCGGCACCGGGUGAUUCGUGAUGGCUACAAGGCUGGAAAUCUCAAGUCUGCCAUGAACUGCAGCUACGUGAAAGAUUAUGAGUUUGUUGUUAUCUUUGAUGCCGAUUUCCAACCACAAGAAGACUUCCUGAAGCUAACUGUGCCCCAUUUCAAGGGCAAAGAGGAUGUUGGACUAGUUCAGGCAAGGUGGUCUUUUGUAAACAAGGAUGAGAACUUGUUAACUAGGCUGCAAAACAUAAAUCUGUGCUUCCACUUUGAGGUGGAACAGCAGGUUAAUGGGGCAUUCCUCAAUUUUUUCGGGUUCAACGGAACCGCGGGAGUGUGGAGAAUUAAGGCACUCGAGGACUCUGGAGGAUGGAUGGAGAGAACGACAGUUGAAGACAUGGAUAUUGCUGUUCGAGCACAUCUAAAGGGAUGGAAGUUUCUGUAUCUUAAUGAUGUUGAGUGCCAGUGUGAAUUGCCGGAGUCAUAUGAAGCAUACAGAAAACAGCAACAUCGAUGGCAUUCUGGUCCUAUGCAGUUGUUUAGACUCUGCUUUGUGGACAUUAUCAAAUCAAAGAUUGGGUUCUGGAAGAAAUUCAACCUGAUAUUCCUUUUCUUUCUCCUCCGAAAACUGAUCCUGCCCUUCUAUUCAUUCACCCUCUUCUGCGUCAUACUUCCAAUGACAAUGUUUGCUCCUGAAGCAGAGCUACCUGCCUGGGUGGUGUGCUACAUUCCAGCAACCAUGUCCUUGCUCAACAUCCUCCCGGCCCCAAAGUCCUUCCCAUUCAUCGUCCCCUACCUUCUGUUUGAGAACACCAUGUCGGUGACCAAGUUCAACGCCAUGAUCUCCGGCCUGUUCCAGCUCGGGAGCGCCUACGAGUGGGUUGUGACAAAGAAAUCAGGCCGGUCUUCGGAGGGCGAUCUCGUCGCCCUCGUCGAGAACGAGAAGCAAUCCAGGCAGCUGAGAGUAGGGUCCGCGCCCAACCUCGACUCCCUGGCAGCAAAGGAGGAAUUGUACCCGAAAGCGGAACCCAAACCCAAAAAGAAGAAACACAAUAGGUUAUACCGGAAGGAACUGGCACUCUCCUUCCUCCUCUUGACAGCAGCAGCUCGCAGCCUGCUCUCGGUUCAGGGCAUACAUUUCUACUUCCUUCUGUUCCAGGGGGUCUCAUUCUUGGUCGUCGGGCUCGACCUCAUCGGCGAGCAGGUCGAGUGA
RNAcentral lists this ribosomal RNA (2097 nucleotides) under Triticum aestivum (bread wheat). RNAcentral describes it as "partial small subunit ribosomal RNA". The record is from RNAcentral. Lineage: Eukaryota; Viridiplantae; Streptophyta; Magnoliopsida; Poales; Poaceae.